Molecule: ribosomal RNA, 513 nt
Filed under: uncultured bacterium
Lineage: Bacteria
Description: bacterial SSU rRNA
Rfam family: Bacterial small subunit ribosomal RNA
Source: RNAcentral
AACGAACGCUGGCGGCGUGGAUAAGACAUGCAAGUCGGACGGGAUUUCCGUUGUAGCAAUACGAUGGAUAGUCUAGUGGCGAACGGGUGCUUAACACGUGGGCAACCUGCCAGGAAGUGGGGGAUAGCUCGCCGAAAGGCGAAUUAAUACCGCAUGUGAUUAGAGAGGACAUCCUUUCGAAAUUAAAGUCGGGGCAACCUGACGCUUCUUGUGGGGCCCGCGGCCUAUCAGCUAGUUGGUGAGGUAAUGGCUCACCAAGGCUUUGACGGGUAGCUGGUCUGAGAGGACGACCAGCCACACUGGGACUGAGACACGGCCCAGACACCUACGGGUGGCAGCAGUCGAGAAUUUUUGACAAUGGGGGAAACCCUGAUCGAGCGACGCCGCGUGGAGGAUGAAGGUCUUCGGGAAUUGUAAACUCCUGUCAUUGGGGAACAAGGUGCAUACGUUAACUGCGUGUGCAUUGAUAGUACCCGAAGAGGAAGAGACGGCUAACUCUGUGCCAGCAGCAGC